This 432-nucleotide unclassified non-coding RNA is filed under the name soil metagenome. RNAcentral describes it as "partial contains 5.8S ribosomal RNA, internal transcribed spacer 2, and large subunit ribosomal RNA". The stretch from base 1 to 120 matches the Rfam family "5.8S ribosomal RNA", at positions 35 to 154 of the family's 154-position model. The record is from RNAcentral.
GAUGAAGAACGCAGUGAAAUGCGAUACGUAAUGUGAAUUGCAGAAUUCAGUGAAUCAUCGAAUCUUUGAACGCAUAUUGCGCUCUCUGGUAUUCCGGAGAGCAUGCUUGUUUGAGUAUCAGUAAACACCUCAACUUCCAUAUCUUUUUUGAAAUGGGAGUUGGACUUGAGUGAUCCCAACGCUUUUCCUCACCGAAAAGUGGCGGGUUACUUGAAAUGCAGGUGCAGCUGGACUUUUCUCUGAGCUAUAAGCAUAUCUAUUUAGUCUGCCUAAAAAACAGAUUAUUACCUUUGCUGCAGCUAACAUAAAGGAGAUUAGUUCUUGUGCUGACUGAUGCAGGAUUCACAAAGACAGCUUCGGCCGACUUUGUAAACUCGAUCUCAAAUCAAGUAAGACUACCCGCUGAACUUAAGCAUAUCAAUAAGCGGAGGA